CCUACGGGCGGCAGCAGUGAGGAAUAUUGGUCAAUGGGCGGGAGCCUGAACCAGCCAAGCCGCGUGAGGGAAGAAGGUACAGCGUAUCGUAAACCUCUUUUGUCAGGGAACAAAGGCGGGGACUAGUCCCCGGAUGAGGGUACCUGAAGAAAAAGCAUCGGCUAACUCCGUGCCAGCAGCCGCGGUAAUACGGAGGAUGCGAGCGUUAUACGGAUUUAUGGGGUUUAACGGGUGCGCAGGCGGCCUGUUACGUCAGCGGUAAAAGCCCGGGGCUCAACCCCGGCGAGCCGUUGAAACUGGCGGGCUGGAGUUGGAGAGAAGUACGCGGAAUGCGCGGUGUAGCGGUGAAAUGCUUAGAUAUCGCGCAGAACCCCGAUUGCGAAGGCAGCGUACCGGCUCCACACUGACGCUGAGGCACGAAAGCGUGGGUAUCGAACAGGAUUAGAUACCCCAGUAGUC
This 459-nucleotide ribosomal RNA is filed under the name uncultured bacterium. RNAcentral describes it as "partial 16S ribosomal RNA". It matches the Rfam family "Bacterial small subunit ribosomal RNA", at positions 338 to 795 of the family's 1533-position model. The record is from RNAcentral.